GGUGGUCUUUGACGAAGACUGCGACCUGCGCAAGAUCCAGAUUCAACGCAACCAGCCCACUCUUGCCGCGCUUCCCGAACAACAUAUCCGGCUUGACGACGAGCUUCUCGGACGAGAUCCAUGGCUCCGCCGCGGCUAGCUCUUCAAAGUUUGUUGAAUCUGUGACCUGGGCGGAUCGGAUCGGAAGCUGGAUGCCGGAGAGGCGCUUGAGGUGCUCCUUGAGGAGGCGCUUCGAGUCGUACUCCCGGAUCUUCUUCCUCGCCAUUGCGGAUCUCGGUCUCGAUUCGAAACCCUAGCGGGGUAGGUGGAGAUCUCG
Molecule: unclassified non-coding RNA, 316 nt
Filed under: Hevea brasiliensis (rubber tree)
Lineage: Eukaryota; Viridiplantae; Streptophyta; Magnoliopsida; Malpighiales; Euphorbiaceae
Source: RNAcentral